RNAcentral lists this transfer RNA (63 nucleotides) under Camachoaglaja africana. Its description in RNAcentral is "tRNA-Leu". The record is from RNAcentral. Lineage: Eukaryota; Metazoa; Mollusca; Gastropoda; Cephalaspidea; Aglajidae.
CUUGAUUUGGCAGAAUUAAUGCGUCUGAUUUAGGGUCAGACUAUAACGAAUAGUUAAUCGGUG